Molecule: ribosomal RNA, 253 nt
Filed under: uncultured bacterium
Lineage: Bacteria
Description: partial 16S ribosomal RNA
Rfam family: Bacterial small subunit ribosomal RNA
Source: RNAcentral
UACAGAGGUCCCAAGCGUUGUUCGGAUUCAUUGGGCGUAAAGGGUGCGUAGGCGGCGCGGUAAGUCGGGUGUGAAAUCUCGGGGCUUAACUCCGAAACUGCAUUCGAUACUGCCGUGCUUGAGGACUGGAGAGGAGACUGGAAUUUACGGUGUAGCGGUGAAAUGCGUAGAUAUCGGGAGGAACACCUGUGGCGAAAGCGGCGCACUGGACCACAACUGACGCUGAGGCGCGAAAGCUAGGGGAGCAAACGGG